Molecule: non-coding RNA, 315 nt
Organism: Vicia faba (fava bean)
Lineage: Eukaryota; Viridiplantae; Streptophyta; Magnoliopsida; Fabales; Fabaceae
Source: the annotation of a GenBank genome assembly
AUGAUACACUAUGCUCCUUUAUUGCUAUUACUUGGUAUGUAUUGUAAAUUAAGUAUAGAAUUAUUUAUAUUUAUUAUAAUACUUUUAAGUAUUAAUUAUUUUACUAUGUGUUUUUUUUCAUUGAUGUGGUGUUCUCCUUGGUCCCGUUUGUGGAGAGAGUUGGUCGGGAUGUUGUGGGAUCCUCUCAAGAUAGAGCAUUAUCGGGUUCAUCAUGUGAUUCAUUUGAGUUUUUUGUGUUUUGGUUGGGAUGGUUUGUUUAAGCUUAAUUCUAGUCAUUGUAUGCCUUUCAUACUCUUGUUAGAUCUAAGGUGGUAG